CAGGACGAACGCUGGCGGCGUGCCUAACACAUGCAAGUCGAACGGGGCGAUUCCUUCGGGGAUCGCUUAGUGGCGAACGGGUGAGUAACGCGUGAGAAACCUGCCUCUCAGUGGGGGACAACAGUUGGAAACGACUGCUAAUACCGCAUAACACUUUAGUACCGCAUGGUACAGAAGUCAAAGCUUUAUGUGCUGAGAGAUGGUCUCGCGUCUGAUUAGCUAGAUGGCGGGGUAACGGCCCACCAUGGCGACGAUCAGUAGCCGGUCUGAGAGGAUGAACGGCCACAUUGGGACUGAGACACGGCCCAGACUCCUACGGGAGGCAGCAGUGGGGAAUAUUGCACAAUGGGGGAAACCCUGAUGCAGCGAUGCCGCGUGAAGGAAGAAGAAUUUCGGUUCGUAAACUUCUAUCAGCAAGGAAGAACAAGGACAGUACUUGACUAAGCAGCCCCGGCUAACUACGUG
This 465-nucleotide ribosomal RNA is filed under the name uncultured bacterium. Its description in RNAcentral is "bacterial SSU rRNA". It matches the Rfam family "Bacterial small subunit ribosomal RNA", at positions 25 to 507 of the family's 1533-position model. The record is from RNAcentral.